RNAcentral lists this transfer RNA (69 nucleotides) under Salmo salar (Atlantic salmon). It matches the Rfam family "tRNA", at positions 9 to 63 of the family's 71-position model. Rfam says of the family: Transfer RNA (tRNA) molecules are approximately 80 nucleotides in length. Their secondary structure includes four short double-helical elements and three loops (D, anti-codon, and T loops). The record is from Rfam by way of RNAcentral. Lineage: Eukaryota; Metazoa; Chordata; Actinopteri; Salmoniformes; Salmonidae.
GGCUCAGUUGGUAGAGCAUGGUGCUUGCAAUGGUGUUUGCAACGCCAGGGUUGUGGGUUCGAUUCCCAC